RNAcentral lists this ribosomal RNA (853 nucleotides) under uncultured bacterium. RNAcentral's name for it is "bacterial SSU rRNA". It matches the Rfam family "Bacterial small subunit ribosomal RNA", at positions 28 to 897 of the family's 1533-position model. The record is from RNAcentral.
GACGAACGCUGGCGGCGUGCUUAACACAUGCAAGUCGAGCGAUGAAGCUUCCUUCGGGAAGUGGAUUAGCGGCGGACGGGUGAGUAACACGUGGGCAACCUGCCUCAAAGAGGGGAAUAGCCCUCCGAAAGGAGGAUUAAUACCGCAUAAAGUUAGAGUUUCGCAUGAAACUUUAACCAAAGGAGUAAUCCGCUUUGAGAUGGGCCCGCGUCCCAUUAGCUAGUUGGUAGGGUAAUGGCUUACCAAGGCAACGAUGGGUAGCCGACCUGAGAGGGUGAUCGGCCACAUUGGAACUGAGACACGGUCCAGACUCCUACGGGAGGCAGCAGUGGGGAAUAUUGCGCAAUGGGGGAAACCCUGACGCAGCAACGCCGCGUGGGUGAUGAAGGUCUUCGGAUCGUAAAACCCUGUUUUCUGGGACGAUAAUGACGGUACCAGAUGAGGAAGCCACGGCUAACUACGUGCCAGCAGCCGCGGUAAUACGUAGGUGGCAAGCGUUGUCCGGAUUUACUGGGCGUAAAGGGUGCGUAGGCGGAUGCUUAAGUGAGAUGUGAAAUACCUAGGCUUAACUUAGGGGCUGCAUUUCAAACUGGGCAUCUAGAGUACAGGAGAGGGAAACGGAAUUCCUAGUGUAGCGGUGAAAUGCGUAGAGAUUAGGAAGAACACCAGUGGCGAAGGCGGUUUCCUGGACUGUAACUGACGCUGAGGCACGAAAGCGUGGGUAGCAAACAGGAUUAGAUACCCUGGUAGUCCACGCCGUAAACGAUGAAUACUAGGUGUAGGAGGGUCCAACCUUCUGUGCCGCAGUUAACACAUUAAGUAUUCCGCCUGGGGAGUACGGUCGCAAGACUAA